CUAUCAGAGAGUCGCGACUUCUAGGAGACGCGAAACUCUGAGAUAAAAGUUAUUACAACUUUCAGCAAUGGAUCUCUUGGCUCUCGCAUCGAUGAAGAACGCAGCGAAAAGCGAUAUGUAAUGUGAAUUGCAGAUCUACAGUGAAUCAUCGAAUCUUUGAACGCACCUUGCGCUCCUCGGUGUUCCGAGGAGCAUGCCUGUUUGAGUGUCAGUAAAUUCUCAACCCUUCUUGAUUGAGGGAGUUUGGAUAGUGGGGGUUGCUGGAGACUUUUAUUAGACUCGAGCUCUCCUGAAAUGCAUCGGCUUGCGGUCGACUUUCGACUUUGCGCGACAAGGCUUUCGGCGUGAUAAUGAUCGCCGUUCGCUGAAGCGCAUGACUGAAGGUUUCGCGCCUCUAAUACGUCGACUCUUAUUAUCUCUUCGGAGAGAAAAGGUCUUCUUUAUUGACUUUUGACCUCAAAUCAGGUAGGACUACCCGCUGAACUUAA
This 488-nucleotide ribosomal RNA is filed under the name uncultured Rhizopogon. Its description in RNAcentral is "eukaryotic LSU rRNA". The stretch from base 57 to 211 matches the Rfam family "5.8S ribosomal RNA". Lineage: Eukaryota; Fungi; Basidiomycota; Agaricomycetes; Boletales; Rhizopogonaceae. The record is from RNAcentral.